AAAAAUACAUUUACAUGUUUUGUAUUAGUAUAAUUACUUUUCGAACAAAAAUCAGAAAGUUGGAAGGAAAAUUCAGAUUAAAUAUAAGCAGUUUCUGCGAUAGAGGUUACAAUACUGCAUUGUCCCUUUUCCACGGCUUUGAUAUAUAUGUUUUCAUUUCAUAAAAUGUAUAAUUUAAAUUCAUAAUUUAAAGGACUCAAAUUAAUUU
This 208-nucleotide long non-coding RNA is filed under the name Mytilus galloprovincialis (Mediterranean mussel). Lineage: Eukaryota; Metazoa; Mollusca; Bivalvia; Mytilida; Mytilidae. The record is from RNAcentral.